Molecule: long non-coding RNA, 991 nt
Organism: Tupaia belangeri chinensis (Chinese tree shrew)
Lineage: Eukaryota; Metazoa; Chordata; Mammalia; Scandentia; Tupaiidae
Exons: 2
Source: RefSeq, a predicted model, not a curated record
ACGUGGGGGGCAGCGGGAGGGAAGAAGAAUUGCAAUUUGCUCGGCCUGGCGACAGUCACCGUGGGACCGAAAGCCACUAGACGCCCCGCGCUGUCCCUUCGUCCCUGCGCUGGUGACGCGUACAUCCUUCGCUGAGGAAGUGCUGGCCUCUACUGCUGGACGAUGAUGCGACCUGAGCGGGGGACGCCCGAGCCCGCGCUGCCCUUCUCCCAGCGGCACCGCCCUCCCCAGCUCUUCUGACCACUGCGACUACCCAGCAGACGAGAUGGAGCGGCGGCCGCUGUGUCCAGCCACCUGCCGGGUGCCGGGAAUACAGAAUGGGAUGAGACCGGCCCUCUGACCUCCAAGUGCAGCAUUUAGUUGGAGAGAGGAGGGAAACUGACGCUUCCAAACAAUACGGUGACUGAAUGGCUGUGGUGAGAACGGCGACAGAAAUAGGCUCGAAUUCGAAUUUCACAAAAAUGCCCGGGAAGGACCUUCGGGAAAGGAAGGCUGGGGGCACACUUCAUCCAGCUUUGUGAGCAGGUGAAAAGGGAGGGGAGGCGCUGAGGCUCCUUGAAGGUGAGAUCUAGUUCCUUAACCUCAGUAGAUGCAGUUCGGUCGGCUGUCCUCUCCUUUACUGCUUCCUUGACGCUACAGGCUUCGUUUACCGCCUGGAAUACGGGGCUCUCUCCUUUGUAAACUCCUCUUCUACCCACACUCUAGCUGUUCAAGGGCUGCCAGGUCCAGUCCUGGCUCUCUCGUAUUCGUCCAGCACCAUGGCUUUCCAUCUCACCUCGCUGCCCAGUAGGAGCCACUCAGCACUGUGCUACUGGGCGCUGGAAAUAAGGCUAGUCCAAACCGAGAUGUGCAGUCAGUGUAAAAUGCACACUGGAUUUCGAAGACGUCUCUGGGCGAAGAGUGUGAAACAGUUUAUUAAUUGCAACACUGAUUAUAUGUUGAAAUGAUAAGAUUUUACUUAUAUCGGACUAAUAAAAUAUAUUGAAACUAA